This 66-nucleotide transfer RNA is filed under the name Aedes aegypti (yellow fever mosquito). It matches the Rfam family "tRNA". Rfam says of the family: Transfer RNA (tRNA) molecules are approximately 80 nucleotides in length. Their secondary structure includes four short double-helical elements and three loops (D, anti-codon, and T loops). Lineage: Eukaryota; Metazoa; Arthropoda; Insecta; Diptera; Culicidae. The record is from Rfam by way of RNAcentral.
CUCGGUAGCUUAGUUGGUAAAGCGCUCGCCUAGUAUACAAGAGUCCUUGGUUCGAAUCCAACCGAG